GCGCGAAAACUUUACAAUGCGGGCAACCGUGAUAAGGAAACCCCGAGUGCCAGCACAGGCUGGCUGUCCACCAGUGUAAAAAACUGGUGAAGAAAGGGCCGGGCAAGACCGGUGCCAGCCGCCGCGGUAAUACCGGCGGCUCGAGUGGUGGCCGCUUUUACUGGGCUUAAAGGGUCCGUAGCUGGAUUCACAAGUCCCUUGAGAAAUCUAUCGGCUUAACUGAUAGGCGUUCAGGGGAUACUGUGGUUCUAGGGACCGGGAGAGGUGAGAGGUACUGCCGGGGUAGGAGUGAAAUCCUGUAAUCCUUGGGGGACCACCUGUGGCGAAGGCGUCUCACCAGAACGGCUCCGACAGUGAGGGACGAAAGCUGGGGGAGCAAACCGGAUUAGAUACCCGGGUAGUCCCAGCCGUAAACGAUGUGCGUUAGGUGUAUCGGUGACCACGAGUCACCGAGGUGCCGAAGAGAAAUCGUGAAACGUACCGCCUGGGAAGUACGGUCGCAAGGCUGAAACUUAAAGGAAUUGGCGGGGGAGCACCGACAACAGGUGGAGCCGUGUAC
Molecule: ribosomal RNA, 559 nt
Filed under: uncultured Methanomicrobiales archaeon
Lineage: Archaea; Methanobacteriati; Methanobacteriota; Methanomicrobia; Methanomicrobiales
Description: bacterial SSU rRNA
Rfam family: Archaeal small subunit ribosomal RNA
Source: RNAcentral